AAUCAACGCUGGCGGCGUGCCUAACACAUGCAAGUCGCACGAGAAAGGGGAGCAAUCCCUGAGUAAAGUGGCGCACGGGUGAGUAACACGUGAAUUAUCUACCUCCGAGUGGGGAAUAACUGAGAGAAAUCUUAGCUAAUACCGCAUAACACUUACGAGUCAAAGCAGCAAUGCGCUUGGAGAGGAGUUCGCGGCCGAUUAGUUAGUUGGCGGGGUAAUGGCCCACCAAGACGAUGAUCGGUAUCCGGCCUGAGAGGGCGCACGGACACACUGGAACUGAAACACGGUCCAGACUCCUACGGGAGGCAGCAGUGGGGAAUUUUGCGCAAUGGGGGAAACCCUGACGCAGCAACGCCGCGUGGAGGAUGAAGUAUCUUGGUACGUAAACUCCUUUCGAUUGGGAAGAUAAUGACGGUACCAAUAGAAGAAG
This 430-nucleotide ribosomal RNA is filed under the name uncultured bacterium. RNAcentral's name for it is "bacterial SSU rRNA". It matches the Rfam family "Bacterial small subunit ribosomal RNA", at positions 32 to 490 of the family's 1533-position model. The record is from RNAcentral.